RNAcentral lists this small nuclear RNA (104 nucleotides) under Helianthus annuus (common sunflower). The record is from RNAcentral. Lineage: Eukaryota; Viridiplantae; Streptophyta; Magnoliopsida; Asterales; Asteraceae.
GUGUCCCUUUGGGUACAUCUCAUAAAAUGGAACGAUGAAGAGAAUAUUAGUGUGUCCCUUGCACAAGGAUGACAUACACAAAUCGAUAAAAAAAAAAACUUAGG